UUCUGACCGUAAACGAUGCCAACUAGCGAUCCGCCGGCGGAUUCAAAACGCCCUGGUGGGGAGCUUCCCGGAAACGAAAGUCUUCCGGUUCCGGGGGAAGUAUGGUUGCAAAGCUGAAACUUAAAGGAAUUGACGGAAGGGCACCACCAGGAGUGGAGCCUGCGGCUUAAUUUGACUCAACACGGGGAAACUCACCCGGCCCGGACACCGCGAGGAUUGACAGAUUGAUAGCUCUUUCAUGAUUCGGUGGAUGGUGGUGCAUGGCCGUUCUUAGUUCGUGGAGCGAUUUGUCUGGUUUAUUCCGAUAACGAGCGAGACUCUAGCCUACUAACUAGUUGGCGCACUCGCUCGCGAUGUGCGCCAGACUUCUUAGAGGGAUUUUCGGCGUUUCAGCCGCACGAAACUGAGCAAUAACAGGUCUGUGAUGCCCUUAGAUGUCCGGGGCUGCACGCGCGCUACACUGGCGAAAUCAGCGUGCCUGUCCUCUCGCGAAAGCGAUUGGUAAACCGGUGAAAAUUCGCCGUGAUUGGGAUCGGAAAUUGCAAUUAUUUUCCGUGAACGAGGAAUUCCAAGUAAGUGCGAGUCAUCAACUCGCGCUG
This 599-nucleotide ribosomal RNA is filed under the name Ecphyadophora sp. 802L-019. RNAcentral describes it as "SSU rRNA". It matches the Rfam family "Eukaryotic small subunit ribosomal RNA", at positions 1024 to 1643 of the family's 1831-position model. Lineage: Eukaryota; Metazoa; Nematoda; Chromadorea; Rhabditida; Ecphyadophoridae. The record is from RNAcentral.